GGGGCAGCAAGGGCGCGCUGGAGGCGGCGGCCAAGACUCCCGCCGCCGCCGCCGCCAACAGGGCGAGGGCUGCCGGCAACUCUCCCGCCGGGCCCCCGCACCCCCAGAAGCCGAGGUCCGAGCAGCCGCCGCUGCUUUGGGUGGGGGGCUGACAGGGCUGCGCGCGUCGCGCUCUUGGCUGGGGCUGCGCGGGCCCGGGGCGCUGCGGGCGGCUCAGCGGCAGCUGCCGCGCUCUGCGCCUCCUCUGGGCGCACUGCCUGGGAGCACGAGACUGGUUUGUCUGAUGCUGCUGCCGGAGCUGAGGUCUUGCCUGGAGAUCCGAACGAGACACCACGUCAACCGGCGCGGGGAGUCCCGUGAAGACAUGAGGGCGCCAGGAGCGCAGUACUGGAAUACCUGAGUUUUGGCUGGGCACAGAACUGUCUGGAAUACAGACUGCAAUUCCCAGCCUUCUGUGCAGUUCUGUGUGGCCAUGUGACUAAGUUGUGGUCAAUAUGAGUCACGGAAGAAUAGAAGAACAACUCAGAGGAGGAAGAAGUCAGACAUAGCCAGACACGGCUGCUAGCAGUUCCACCAAUGAAAGAGGAGACCAGGAUGUUUAAAACAGGCAAACACAAGGUGCGAAAAACCAGAAGCGAAAACUUCUGAGGUCAUUUAAGCAAGGACUAUCGUUAUCCCCGGAAGCAGAGAGAAGUUCCCUUUGCCCAACAUCACACUGCAAGCACGUGUUGGAGCUGAGAUUCAAACCCAGGCAUCCAGGGUCCAGGGCCCAUGCUUUUAAUAUAUUCCAUAUCUUAGGAGAAUUUCCCCUAUUUAAACAAUAAAAGUGCAAAAAUCUUGUGGCUAGCCAAAAUUUUCAGUUGUUUGGAAAACUUAUUUAUCCAAUAAGUGGAAAACUCACUUGUCCUCCAACAAUUCUGGAUAAAUGAAAGAACGAAUUGAACUGAGACUGGAAUCCGGGUCUCCCAGUACUUUGUAGUUCCUAUCCAUAUGGCUUGUCAGGAAGGCCACAGGGAGGUUAACUAACUCUGCGUAACCAGAAACAAUCCCACAUCAGACUGUUGGCAGUGGGAGUGGAACACUCAGAGCUGAACCGCAUGCAAGAUGGUUGCAUUUUCAUUUGCAAUGUCGUCAUCUUCCUCAUGGCUAAAGAGGUAUUUUGGAGUUGACAUGAAGGCUACUGUAAUUUUUAGAGGCAUUUUCUUUCUGGCCUGUAUUUACAUAUUGUGGUAGAAGAGUCAGAAGACUUCAAGCUUCAAAAGUGAAUCUUGUUGCGAGUUACAAAAGCACCACCCGGUGGGGUGCAGCUCUCAGCAUGUGUCACCACAGGCACUGUGAUUUCCCUGUCUUCAUCCAACUUUGGUUGCUGUUCUUCAUGCUCAGGAAUUCUGCAACUGCUGUAGCUUUUGCUGUUGUUAUGUCUGUAGGUAUGGACUCAUUUCUACCAUUCUGGAAUGAAACAUUAUUUCAAGGGAAGCUUCUCAUUGUAAAAGGUCCACACAUUCAGAAGGAAACUGGGAGUACAUUUUCUCAUAGGCCUGGAGCAUUAACUGACUAUGCAUCUUUCCCCUCAGUGUUGUCAUCAUGUUGUAAGGGGAUGAGUCAUGGACAACAUUUUCACACACAUACGUGAGGUCCAUUGACCAGUCUUUAGGACAACUAGAAAUCUUUUCUUUCUUUGUUUUAAAAAGGAAGACAAGUCAAGAUACAGCAAAUAAAAAUGCUCAGCACAUUUGCUGAAAUCUUAGCAAAAUCAAAUUACUAGUAAUUUGUUAAUCACACUAUACCUGUUUUGAGCCAAUCCUACUUAACCCACCCUCCAUCUUCCUCAUGCUUGCCUCCCUGGUGAACUCCUAUUUAUGUUACAAAGCUCAGUGUUUAUGUUACUACUUUUGUGCUAUUUCUGAACGUUAAAUGUACCUCUAUUAUAGAACAUAUCUCAUGGAAUAGUUAUUAUUGCAUAUCCACUGCCCUUGUUAGGCUGUGAGUGAGCUUUCUUUCUUUCUUUUUCUUUCCUUCCCUCCUUCCUUCCCUACUUCCUCCCUCCCUCCCUCUCUCCCUCCCUCCCUCUCUCCCUCCCUCCCUUCCUUCCUUUGCUCCUUCUCUCUUUCUCUCUUUUUCAUUUCUUUUCUUUUUUUUUAAAUUUGAGACAGGGUGUCACAAAUAUGAAUGGGACCUGUGAAUAUGAUGGCUGUCACUCUCUGAUUAGAUUACAUUAUAUGGCUAAGGUGAAGGAAUUCUGCAGAUGUAAUUAAGGUCCCAGAUGAGUUGAUAUUGAGUUACUCACAAAGGAGAUUAUACUGGAUGGCCCUACCUUAAUCAGGGAAAAGCCCUUAAAAGAGGACUGGGCCUUUCCUGAAGGAGGACAGUCCACUGCUGGCUUUGAAGCAGUAAGCAGCUGUGUUUUAAGGGGGCCUAUGGAGGGGCCCAUGUGGCAAGGUCCUGAGGGUGGCCUCUAGGAGUUGGCAGCAGUUCCCAGCCACUGGCUAGCAAGAAAACAGGUGGUUCAGCCACAUAGCCACAAGGAAAUGAAUUCUACCAACAAUCCAAAUGAGCUUGGAAGUGGAUAUUUUCCAUGGUCAAGCCUCCAGACGAACACCUUAACUGUAACAUAUGAACAGCUGAGCAGAGGACCUGCUUCAGCCAUGCCUGGACUCCUGACUUGUGGAAACUGAGAUAACAAAUGUAUAUUAUUUUAAGCUGGUAAGGUUGUGGUAAUUUGUUAUGCAACAAUGCCGAAUACAGUAGGCAUCUUAAAUGUUUGUUGAACUUAAUUUAAUCAGGGAAAUAUAAUAUUUAAAAGGAAUCUUUUCUAAAGUUUUAGCCAAUUUAAUGAAUGUAGAUAUCUUAAAGAAUUGCCAUCUUCCUUUGGAUCUUCUAGCCAUGCAAUCGACUUCACAAACUUCCAAGUUUUCAUAAAUACCAGCUUCUGAUUGUCUGGAAACAGGAAGUGAGAUUCUCUCCAGCCAUCAUUUGGCAUUCUUGGGAGAUAGAAUGGAUAAAAAUUGAUGUUGAAAUGAGACCACCAUCAUUUUUCAGUCUGCUCACCACGUACAGAGCUCAGGAUGAUUAGAAAAUGUAAAACACAUGUGAGUGGCUCAAACCCCUUUAGUUAAAUCACAUUUACAUAGAUCAGUUUUCCCAAGGGAUAUAAGUUAGCUGAACUUAAGCAAUUAAAAAAAAUAAAACUAAACUAAAACCUUUUGCUAAAGCCAAAAAACAUGGAUGAGUUAAACUGUAUCAGAUGGAAUGGUUUGUUUUGAAAAGUGUUUGGUUUGUUGUCUAUAUACGUGCGUGCUUUUUUAAAAGGCAGAUAGAAAAGCAGAACUUACAAGACCUUUAGCUGCUGAGGUGGAAAGCCAGUAUUACUUCUACCACAGCAGUUGAUAUCAUCGGUCUCACCAGCAGGUCACGGAUUUGUUGCUUGCUCCCUGUGACAAUCUUGAACCAUUGUAGGGACCUUGGCAUAUAGAGGGACGGUGAACAGGGCUGAAAACAAAAUUGAACUCAAUCUUGAGCUUGGUAUUCCACCGAGAGCAGGUUUUCUGGGCUUUGAAAUACCGCCUCAGAGAGACCUUCCUUGAUAUUCUGCCAUGUUGAGAACAAGAACAAACUUUUUGGCCCUGGAACCUCUUCCCUCCCAGUGCCAACAUGUUCAAUUUCAUUUGCCCUUGGCUAAAUGUAGCUUCCUGUUUCUAAGAAAAGAAGCAGAAAGGGGCUUUUGAAGGCCUCACAGACAGUCUCAGAAGGCUUCAUGGGCAGCAGACAACUCUUAGCAAACAACAAUUUGAUGAGUUAAGUGUAAACGGCUCAGAGACAUAUGGAUUACAUUUUUUGGGAAAUACACAUGGGCUUACAAUGUAAAACUGGGUAGUGUGGGGUGGGGUGGAGAAGGGAAUGCUUGGAAAAGUGUGGUUUGGGUCUUGCUAAUUGCAAAAUAUUUGAAACAAAUAAUUUGAGAUGUUUUGCUCAACGUACAGCGCGGUUGGAUUUGCCCUUUCCAUCUAUUUACGUGUCAUUUUCAGAUUCGGCUCACAUACCAAUACUGGUUUGGGUCUUGAGUUGAUUUUUAAAAAUGCAGUUAUUUUGAAAGGUCAUGCCAUGUGAUUUCUGUGUAGCCUCUGAGCAUAAAGGGUGGGGUGGUAUAGGGGAAGAACUGGGCAUUUAGAAACCUCUCUGCCUGUAGGUCAAACUGCUGCUCAGCUCUUCUGGUAUAUUCUACUUAUGGAGGUUCCAAAUCCAGGCUGUGUUAGUAAGAUGCAGCAGCCUCAGUCUCCCCACCUGUAAAAUGGGGACAGUAAUACUUAUCCCAGAACCCAUGGCGAUUGGGAUGCUGUGUGGUGUGGAGUUAAAGUGUGGACCCUGGAGGCAUAUACCUGUGCAUAUCCCAGCUCUGCUGCUGAUGUGAGCUUGGGCAAGUUCUUCAGCUUCCCUGGGCUUUUGUUUCUUCAUCUGUGUAAUGAGGAAUAUCUUAGCAUCCACCACAUAGGGUUACCUUGAGAAUUAAAAGAUUUAACCCAGUCCCCGGCACACAAUAAGUGUUCAGCAAAUGCUAACAGUGGCUCUUGUUGUUUAUAAUUUAUCUUGUUCUAUUAAGUAUAUGAAUACAGUAGAUAAUAAGGCAAAUUCACCUCCAGGCUGGGGAGAGGAAUAGCCCCUUACCAAACAGUGAGGGUCUCCUUCAGCUUACCUUCUUUUUCUUAUUGUUUCAACCUAUGGAUUAAUUACCUAGUUUUGUGACCCCAAAAUAAAAGGGUAGAUUCCUUGAUCUAAAAUUAGACUCAUCUUUUCCCUAUCCUAGGAAGGAUCCGUUUCUCUCUUCUAUUUUACCACUGUCUAGCACCUGGAGACACUUGGUUUAAGAGCCCAGCUAGUUUAUACUAGAGUGUGAGGGAAUUCUGAGGGCUCAGGUGGAAGGAAAGCAUGAUUCCAGAGUGUUGUUGGGUUAAUGCAUUGCUUCUCAACCCUUCCUGCACAUUAGAAUGAAUUGAGAAGCAUUUCAAAAAUAAUAGAAAUGUUAGUGUGGGGCUUCGGUAUUAGUACAUUUUUUAACUCCCCAGCUGCUUCUAUUGCGCAGCCAGGACUGAGAACCACCCUGGCUAAGGCAUUCAGUGGCAUUGUAGGUGCUUCCCUGGGUCGUUUCUGACUCGCCCCUUUUAACUCACUGGCCCCUCGGACUCUGAUUUCUGCCCUUCAUGCAGUGGGAGAGCUUUCCUCUGGGGCUUGCCUUGAGGUCUGCAGGAGCAAGGCCACUUCCUCUCUGAAUCCUAGACACAGGCUUUGGGUCAGUACUCCCACCCACGUGGAGCCCCCUUCUGCCCCUCUGCUCUGGGGGAUCUUGUCUGAAUCCAUCCCUUCUUUGCCUGCCUUAUGCCUUCUAGCUACUAUUCCUCUGCCCUUCCUUUCUUGAUCAGCACAAUUCUGCUGCUUUAAGUCCUUUUUUCCAUUAACCAUUGACUGCCCUUUGCUCUGUCAAACAUAGUUUUGGAGGCUGUGUAGUGUAGUGAAAGAACAGGGAAUUUGAGGUUGGACCUGGGUUUAACUCUCUCCUUGAUUGCUGACAAGUUACUUAACCUCUACUCAUUUGUAAACUAGGAAUAAUCUGACCUGGAUGAGACUGCUGUGAAGAUGAAAAGAGGUAAAGGAGGGGUGAUGGUGUGGUAGUGGUGGCCUGGUGAGAAUGACGGUGGUGGAGUGAUGGUGAUAAUGAGAAUGAUGAUAAUGGUAAUGGCGGUGUUGCGGUGAGGGUGUUGAUGUGGUGGUAGUGCUGAUUUUCGUGGCAGGUGAUGGCUAUAGUGAUAGGGGUGGUGGUGAUGAUGGUGGUGGUAGUUGUAAUGGUGACUGUGAUGGUGGUGUUGAUGAUACUGGUGAUAGCAGUAAUGGUAGUGAUGAUGGUAAUGAUGGUGUUAAUGAUGGUGGUUUGAUGGUGGUGAACAUGACAGUGGAGGUGGUUGUAGUAAUGAUGAUAAUGAUUUGGUGGUGGUGGUAGUUGUGGUGGUGGUGGUGAUGGUGGCAGUGGUUUAGUGGUAAAAGUUCAGUCAAGAAAGAAGAAAGCUGGAGGAACCAACAGUAUUCUGAUCAGAGGAACCACAUGGGAAGCAUUGACAGAGGGUCUUUGCAUUUGCUAAGGCCAUGGGAGUAGCUGGUUGUAUCAGUUAGCAUUUGAUCAGGAAAUCAGAGCUACUCUGUAUGACACGGAAUAAGGGAUUAAUCAUAGGGAUUAAACUUACCCAUUAUGAAAACUAGUAAAAAAGUCUAGGCAAGGCUGUUGCCUCUGUAUCUGGUGUUGGGCUUGACGUUUCUUUGGGUCAGCAGGGCUUACAGAUGGGACAGAAAGUGGAUGGAAAGGGGAGAGCAAGAACAAACUGGACCAUGUCUCUGACUCUCACCACCUGCAGUGGUAACACAGUGACCUGCAGGAAAAGCCAAUGCCUCUCAUCUCAGGCCUGGACAUGCACCUGGGUCAGGACUCUGGGCUGGAGGAGACCCAGGGAGCCGGAGGUACUGGAGCCCUGCUCCAUCAAGGUGAGGCAGCAGGUCUGAGAUAUAUGUGAGCUGCUGCUGCGCCGGGUCCCUAAUUAAACCUCCUGAGUGGAAUGGCUACUGCUUCCCUUCUGCCUUCCAAUCUUCUCACAGAUUUCUCUUGUUGCCAGCUUUAAUCUGGAACCAUAGAGGAAGGAACUUUGGGAAAUGUGGUUCCUGCUUAGUUCUGGUGGCACAGCACAAGUCACUGCCGAGGGGUCCCCAUGUGGAUUGGAUGGGUUAAAAGCUUCAGCACCUGUAGUGGCCUGUGCAGUCUACUUGCUCUGACAUUUCAAGCCUGGAGAGGCAAGGGGGACAAGAGCUGAGCUGAGGGCCAUGCCAGGGAACUGGACAAGGAAGGCCUUGGCACUCUCAAGUCAGGGAAUAGCCUCGCCAUUUCAUCUCAUCCCCAGAUGCUGGAGUGCGUUGGUCUCCCUUCUAACCUCUAACCACUGAAAGGGACCCUCUGUACAACCAAUCCUUGACUUUGGAAUCAUGGGCUGAGUAAGGCUGAAACAUUUAGCCGUCUUUGGGACCCCAGUAUUUCCCUAGUCUCACUCUAGUGUCUCUUGAAGUGGCUGUCUUUCAAGGUGUUGACCCUACUCCCUGUUUCUAACAUCUGCCUGCUACAUAAUCCAGCUGGACUUCUCAGGUAUCCCUGGUGGCUGAACUCCUUAGACCAGGGAGCUCCCCUAGUGCCUCUAGUGCUGACAAAGUGCCACUUUGCAACAGUUUCUGCCCUUUUCCCGGUUCUCUGGCUUCUAAAGCCUUCAUUUAUCCACAGAUAGAAAUACAAUCAAUCCCAUCCUUACUCUUUCUUUUGACAAUUUUCUUCAUCAGAUAUACACUUAGAAUUUAACUCAACUGUGUUCUCUCCUAUUUUGUCGGUCACUGCUGUAACUUACAUGGAAUCAUGGUUGGGUGGCAGGGACUGAAGUAGUUAGUUCUCACUUAUUUACUGUGAAAUGAAUAGUUUGAGAUUCGGUCAGUAGUCAGAAUGGUAUUCUUCACUUCCUCCUUUUCUUUAUUUACUAUGCUACCUGGUUUGUGAACAUUUUCUCCAGCUGCAAGCAAUUUACACAAACUGUAAACUCUUUAUCCAUUAUAAUCCCUGUAACUAUGCCUAGAGACUGGAAAAUGACCAGUUGUCAUUACAUUCGGAAAAGCAUAGAAAGGAUCUCCUUACUUGUGGCCCUACACCUGGUACUUUUCAGAUAGUAGAUGAGUUAUUAGGAUGAUUUGCACCUCAGUUUUCUUAUCUGUAAAAUGGGAGGGUUGCCUUGCAUUUCAUGCUGUGUUCUUUGAUGCCCUGGGGGAUUGCCGGAUUGCCAGAGGACUCAUUGGGAAUUUGGGGAUGGGGAAGAGCAUGUGUCUAGAGGGCCUUCAUCCCUCAUUCAACUAGCAAAAAGCCACUUAUUCUGUGUUAUAUAUUUGGUUUCUAUGAGAGAUUGGAUUAUUGGUCAGCAAUAAAAAUCACUCCCUUCCUUCUUCCUCUUGGAGCAGACCGUAACUCCCCUGUUCUACUGACUUUGGGCUUGGCUAUAUGACUAACUUUGGCCAAUGAAAUGUGGGAGGAUGUGAUGUGAAUAGAGGCUUUAAAUGUACUUGCAUGGUUUGGCUUACCUCUUGUACUCUUCUGUUUGCUGUGAGAAUAUGCUGCAGGGAGCCACUGGUCCAAGGAGAAGAAGAGGGGUGUAGAACAGACCUAAACCCAACCUGUAGCCUGAAACAGAGCCGAGUCCAGCCUAGAUCCACUUAUAGUCAACCUGUUGAUCUGUUAGCACAAAAACACAUGCUGCCAUAAGCUGUUGUGUUUUGUUACACAGCUAUAGCUGUCUAAUUCAGCUUACAAAUAAGUUUUGUCCAUAAUCAUAUUUUUUGGUUUAAAAAAGUUUGAAAACCACUGGGUUUGCUGAGUUUUCAGCUUUCCCAUCCACUUCUACUGUCCUGUUUCUUUCUCUUUGUGUAUUUAGGAAAGAGAGGGAGAAAGAAAGGGUUUUGGAAACAACACAGUCUGGUAGAAAGAAAGAAAGGAUAAUUUUUUUCUUUUGAGGAAAGAGGGACUUAGGGAGCUGGGAGGAGAGAUAGGCACAUUCAUAGUUAAAGUAUGUUUUGUUUCUUUUUUGAACCCUCAAGUAAACAUUUCUCCACUGACAUUGUUUUGCACUGUUACAUUAUUUUGUUCACUUUAGUGUUCCAUUUGUACAACCUCUGAAAUUCCAGGAAGAAGGUGAAAGAAUAACAUUGCACAUAGCCCUGGGUUGUGCUGUGUUUACUUCAUGAUGGACCGUUCACUUGGGCUUAACCUUAAACUGACCUUUCUGAUUCCAGACGAGACAGCAAAGCUUUGCUCACAGAUUCAAAAUCAGGGAACAGAAACAGCUGACUUCCCUGGCCAAGGAUGUUUUCCAUUCUCAUUAUUUUUGUCCGUGGUCACAAAUGAGAUGCUAGGGAAGUAAUUUUUAGGAAUUCCUGGAGUACUUUACUUCUGAUGUGCAUGCACAGAUACCCUGGGGUCUUAUGCAAUUGGUACCCCACCCCAAAGUCUGGAUAUAUUCGUUGUAGGAUGAAGAGAGGGAGGAAGGAAGGAGGACUGAGGAAGGUCUUAGGCUAUUUUCAAGCUCUUUUUUGCUCCGCACUUUGCAACAUGGUUUUAUUUUAUUCUUAUAAGUUUUGAGAUCAUCUCAAAUAUAAAUACAAAACCAUUGAUCAAAGGCCAAGAAUAAGAAAUAUUUAGAUGCCCUCUAUUGCAGUGAAAAAGCAAAUGGUUGCUAUAUCAUGCGUAAAGGUAAUCUCUUCAAGGAUUAGCACUUUAGGUCAGAUCAUGGAAGCCUGGUUUUGUUUCUCAGAAAGAGUGUCUUUCUGGGGCUUGGGAGGCCAACACGAGGCAGGCUGAGCUUUGUCUAUGGCAGGAGCUGAGUUUGAGUCUAUCUCUGCCAUUAGCCUGUGCUCAGGUUGUGUCCCUACACUGAUGGCCAUCAGAAUUUGGGUAUCAAGUGAUUCGCUUGCUUGUACUAGAUUGAGCUCCUUUGAGGACAACAGGAGCCAUUAAUAUUUUAGAGCCAGAGGCCAGGCAUGGUGGCUCACGCCUGUAAUCCCAGCACUUUGGGAGGCUGAGGCGGGCGGAUCACAAGGUCAGGAGAUCGAGACCAUCCUGGCUAACAUGGUGAAACCCCAUUUCUAUGAAAAAUACAAAAAAUUAACUGGGUGUGGUGGUGUGCACCUGUAAUCCCAGCUACUUGGGGGGCUGAGGUGGGAGAAUCACUUGAAUCCGGGAGACAGAGGUUGUAGUGAGCUGAGAUCACACCAUUGCAUUCCAGCCUGGGCGACAGAGCGAGAUUCCAUCUCAAAAAAAAAAGAACUUAGAAUCUGGACUGGUAUAAGCCUUAAUUCAAAUGCCAUCUUUGCCCUGUACAAACUGUGUGACCUUGGGCAAAUAACCAGUUCUUUGUUUCUUCACCUGUAAAAUGGGGAUAAUUAGUACUUUUCUCAUAGGGAUGCUGUGAAGAGUCAAAGAUAUAAUGGUUGUAGAGUGCUCAUCACAGAGCCUGGCAUGUUGUAUCUGCUCAUAUAUGUUAGCUAUCACCAUCAUUGCUGCUGCUGCUGUUUUUAUUAAUCUAGUCCUGGGAAUUUAUAUCAUGGAAAAAAGCCAAAAAAGUUAUAUGCUUAAAAAUGUGUAUUGCAUCUUGUCUAUAGCAAUGAGAAAUUAGAAACAAUCUAAGUGCCUCAUUCAUUCAGUCAAUUUAACAAAUAUUUUUUGAAGUCCUAUUAUAUGCCAGGCACUGUAUCCCACUGUUUGGGGUACAUCACUGAAUAAGAGAGACAAAGAUCCCUGCUUUUGUGAUGGAGAAUGGGUAGCUAAACUAUGGGACAAUAAUUCAAUGGAAUGUUAUACAGCUAUUAAAGCAAUAGCAAUGAAGACAUGGGAAGUUGUUUGUCGUGUCAUGUAAAAUCAAAAAGCAGAAGAGGAAAACAUAGAUGCCUUAAAAUAUAUGUGUGGGUGGACAGAGACUAGAAUGGAGCAUUUAAAAAUGCAAGUGGUUGUUAGAGUGAUGGAAUCAUGUUUUUUGUUUUUCAGUAAUGUUUGAAGUGGUUUUACAACAUUAUGGAAAAAAUACAUAUAUAUGCAUAAAUAAUUGAGAAAAAUGAACUGGCCCUAAGAGAAGUUUCUUAUGGUUUAGGAAUCAAAGUAAGGCUUAUAGGCAGAAGAGGAAAUUGCCUAGGUAGCAAGGAAGGAAAAAUUGCUAUUUCAAACCAAAAAUGACUGUUGCAGUUCCACUGUGCACUGGAAGCAUGGAAUUCAUGCCAAGGAUGUUAGUUCUUUGUUAAGGAAAACCUGUUAAGCAGAUGAGUAAAAGAGGCCCUGAAGCCUCUGGAGAGAGGAGAGUUCAGACUUAAACGUCUUUGUAUAAUAAAGUAACAGAAGAUUUCCAUUUUCCCUCAGCAGUUUGGGGAUGGAAGGGAGAAAUAGAGAUUCAGAGGCUGGAGAACUGGGAGAAGAUGAGUAAAGGAAAGAGCCAGCUAAAGAGGUUGGAAGAGAUGAGGCCACAAUAGCAACUUGAAGAACACUGAUAACUAAUACUCAAUUUUAAGAGAUUCCCUGUCCCAGGAGACCAUAUGUCUCCCCACUCUUACCUUCCCUCAGGAGUCUCCAAGAGGGCACUGUACCCCCAUGGGAUAGGGGUUGUUAUGGUUUGGAUGUCCCCACCCUAAUCUCCUGUUGAAUGUAAUCCCUAAUGUUGGAGGUGGGACCUGGUGGAAGGUGUUGGGAUCAGGGGGGUGGAUCCCUCAUGAAUGGCUUGGGCCAUCCCCUUGGUGAUAAGUGAGCUCUGGCUCUGAGUUCACAGAAGAUCUGGCCAUUUAAUAGUGUGUGACACCUGCCCCCACCCCUCUCUGUCUUGCUCCUGGUUUCACCAUGUGAUGUGCAAGCUCCCACUUUGCCUUCUGCCAUGAGUAAAAGCUCCCUGAGGGCUCCCUAGAAGCCAAGCAGAUGCUGGCACCAUGCUUCCUGUACAGCUUGCAGCACUGUGAGCCUGAAACUUUUCUUUAUAAAUUACUGACUUUCAGGUAUUUAUAGCAAUGCAAGAAUGACCUAACACAGGGGCUUGGGUCAUUUUGUUUGGUUAUUAAAAGAAGGCUGAUGUCAUAGAAUAUUCAGGGUUCACCUACACAGGGGGGAUCUGAGGGGUCAGAAGCUACCUGUUUCAAAUUGACUGCUUUUGGGGCCUGAAAUGGCUUCAUUGCCACCACUAGCAAUAUGAUCUUUUGCAAAUAGACAAUCUAGGAUCCCUGAUUUUUUAGGUGCAGCAAGGUCUGGGAGAAGUGUUGCUCUUCCAUGAAGACCUUAAGGAGAAUGAUUCUGACAGAUCAUUGAUCUUCUGAGGCAGGAGGCUGAGCAGGUUUUUAUUAAUGGGUGGAGAAGGGAACAGUGAGCACACAGGAGAGUGAUACUGGGGCUUGGAGACUGGGAGGCGGGAGGCAGGUGGUGGGAGGAAGCCUUCUGCAGCCCAAAGUCUCUUAGGACAACUGGGGAGUGGUCUCUAGACUCUGAAUCCUGCUCCCAGGAGACCCUGUGGCUAUGCCCCUUUUGGGAAUGGUACUUAACUUAAAGGCCUGUAGAAUAACAACCUUGUAUGGCCUUGGAAAACCAAGGUGGGGGUGGGGAGGAGCUGUCUGCCCCAGGUGCAGGCUACAUUUAAAAAUGCUAAUAAAAUAAAGUAAAACAAACUGCUUUUUAUUAUCACCAUGUGCCAACAGUCAGUGAUAAACUACCCCUCCCUCCUGGGGCAGAUGGUUUGGGCCGUCCGCAUCCCCUAGUCUGGCCAGGCUGUGGGAUGGCAAACAGCCAAAGUAGGGGAUCCAGAAGGAGCACGUGCAGGAAGAAAACCCAGAUUCCUCACACUGGUAAAUAAGAGGCUUCUCAGGACUGAACUUGAAAAACAUGAGCCCCACCAAGGGCGGGACAAGAAAAUCCUCAGAAGACGGCUGAGCAGAGGUUAAGCAAACAUCGGUGCCAAGCCAGUGGCAGCUCGGAAAUGAAAGCCCAGAGAUGUGAUGAUUUUUAAGAGUUGAACUGAGCUGCAAGCUUGUGGAUCAUGUAAGUGCUAACAGAGGCAGACGGAGAAGGAAGAUCUGUCAUGAAGUGCUACGGUGGGAGGUGCGUCAGCUUGGGGUGGAGGGGUCCCAGGUGGCCCCAGGAGAAGAGGCCUCUGAACAAAGAAGACAAUGCUUGGGUUACGGUGGAAGGGACACGGAAGGGUCUGGAAUGCUGGAAGGAGCCAAGAGCAGAUGCCAUCUUGGUGAUGUGUUUCAUCUUCAGGACCUGAGACCCAUCUGGUCAAAUAUUUGUGUGUAUAUGCAAAAUUUUAGGUCAUUUGUUAAAAGGAGCUCAUGAAUACAUGUCCUUGACUUCCCAGAGAUGGAAAAAACACUUCUCUCCGCCAAAGAACUUCCAAAUAGUGCUUCUAGCCUAUGCUCCUCAUCAGUGUCCAUGUCUCUCAGAUGUCUCUAGUUUUGGUUGAGGAAUGAGGAAAUGUGGUUGCCUCCUUUUAUUGGCUGAUUCGUCUGCUGAGCUCCUAACUUCUUAGCUAAUCUAGGUGAAACCAACCCUUGUCCUGGACCCUGGGCUUUUGUGGAGGACUGUCUUACUGUUCACAAAUACUCCGCCUUUUCCAUGAGAAGCUAAUUUAUCCCUGCCUGUUGAAAUUGGGCAUGGACAAUGACUUGCUUGGUUGUCUAAUAAAAUGUGAGCAGAAAGGAUAUGCGUCACUUCUGAGCCAAAAGUUUUCAGAGCCAGUGCAUGGUUGGCCAUGUUUUCUCUUGCCUUUGUAGGCACACAAUAAAUGUUUGUUGAAAAAAGAUGAAUAAAAGGAAAGAGCCCCAAUUAGGAGCUGGGUUAGCUGAGGCCUAUUCCCAGAGUUUCCACUAACUAGCUGUGGCAUAAUCAUUUGGCUACUCUACUGGCCAUAAAUGGUUCUUUGUUAUUUUGAAAUGGAGUCUCGCUCUGUCACCCAGGCUGGAAUGCAGUGGCAAAGCCUCUGCUCACUGCAACCUCCACCUCCUGGGUUCAAGCGAUUCUCCUGCCUCAGCCUCCCAAGUAGCUGGGAUUAUAGGUGCACACCGACACACCUGGCUAAUUUUUAUAUUUUUAGUAGAGACGGUGUUUCACCAUAUUGGCCAGGCUGGUCUUGAACUCCUGAUCUCAAGUGAUCUGUCAGCCUUGGGCUCCCAAAGUGCAUAAAUGGUUCUUAAGAUUUCUUUUUUUUUUUUUUUUUGAGAUGGGGGAGGGUCUUGCUAUGUUGCCCAGGCUAGUCUUGCACUGUUGGGUUCAGGCCAUACUCCUGCCUCAGCCUUGGAGUAGUUGGGAUUAUAGACGUGAGCCACCAUGCCCAGCUCAGGAUUCUUUCAUUUCUAAAACCCUGUGCAGAUAUUGCAGAAGUAAAGUGAUGAUUUUUGGAUGCUUAUUGGAAGUCUUGUUCAUGCUGGUGAAUGGGGAAAAGACUUUGGGUGGGGGUAGGGAGCACUGAUUGGCAAGUUAUUUUGUGUUUUUAAAACAAAAAUCGCUCUUCAGGGUGGUGCACUAUUCCCAGAUUUUCUCUGGAAGCUGUGUUCCAACACCUUUCUCAGACUUCCCCACACUCCCCCUCAGGACAUCAGAAGGAGGGCCCCCGAAUUCAUUCUUGCAGCAAAGAGCCUCAAGACUCUGCUCAGACCAGGAAAUGAGGGACCUGUUCCUACAAAUUGCUGUCAAAAUGUAUUCUUAAUAUUUGUUCUCUGGAGUCACUGUUUUGGUGACCUCAGUCCCUGGAGGCUCCUCCUGGGGGCGAUAGGAUGCCUUCAGAGGGGAGCUGACAGCCCUGUGUUGUGUCUGGGCUCGCGGGAGGCCAUCGCUGUGUCCAUUGGAGCCAGAUGUUUUCCCAGCCCUUAACCUGCUGUGGUUUCUUAGCUCAACGUCUCCAGUGCGACUCUCCCAUAACACCCAGCGCCAUCUUGUAGACGCGCUCAUGCUUCCGGACCGCGGGCGCCCCACCGGGAAGAGCGCUCCACGCUGAAGAGGAAGGAAACUUCACACUUAAUUCAUCAAAUUCAAACUGAGCUGUGGUGAAAGGAACGGGGCAGAGUGAAAGGAACACCCAUAUGCCCCAGAAGACCCCGGGGCAUCGCUGCCUUUCAGCUUCUUUUGCGCUUUCUGCAGCUCGUGUCACAUUCCAAGGACACUCAGCUCCGCACAUGCACAGAGGGCCGCGUCUGUCCCGGGGGCGUGUUACCUAAAACCAGGCGCUGACCUCCAGGUCAGGAACUCUUGAGUAUUUAAUCUCUCCGCCGUUCAUGGCUACCCGGGUGGCCUCUGAAAUAUUACUUAAUGUCUCUGGGUUCUGAUUUCCUCAAUUGUGUGGUACCCAGUGACCUUACGAUGACAUUUCACUACCUACGAAAAAUGGCGCCAUCUGAAUGUUUAGUCUUUACCUAGAAGUAUAAGAAGGGGUUUCUUGCCUGGGAAUGAUCCUGUGAAGCUGAGGUCACAGUUUAUCUUCUCAAUUAGGGCAGGGAUUAGUACAACAGAAGGUCAUUCGUCAAGAAAAAGGAAAGCUUCUCCCUUUCCAAAAAUGCAAGUAGUGAAACUUACAUUUCUCACUUUUCCCUGAUUGCUCAGAACUAAAUAUAAAAUUUAAUUGGCAAGUAUUUUAGCACUUAUUUUUAACAUAUUUUCUUUUGGUCAUAAUUUUUAAUUUUAUUAACCUUACUGAUUUGACAGGGUCAAAUCUAAAUAAAUAAUAAUAUUUUAUUUAUUAUACAAUACAUAAAUUUCUGCAUAGCUUGAAGGGACCUUGUGGAUUGUUAAAUCCAACUAUGUAGUUUACAGAUUAAGCAGUUAAAGUCUGCAGAGAAGGGACAGGACUAAAUGUCAUCAGCUUGUUAGUUCCAAAGCUGGGUGGGAAAAGCAGUUCUUCCUUCUGAUUCUUAGACCAAUAAUUCAUUCCUCCAUUCCAUAAUGACGAUUCUUAGAACGUGACCUUACCUGUAACAGUAGGGACAAAGCAAGACAAUUGUCUUUGAGUUUCAGGAACAGACUUUUUAGAAUUAAAUAGUUUCAGGUACAUGCUAUAGGGAAUUCAGUUGAUUUGUCCUGGUUAGAAAGCACUUUGUUCACACCUAUACAUAUGACUCUAGGUUAUGGGUUCUUCUGGAGUCUUCUGAACCUGCUGGGCAUUUCUGACUGGAUGAAAAUUAACAAAAGUCUAUGUUCAUCCUGAUGAAAAUUAGCAGCAGUUCAUCUUAGUUUAAUUGCCACAACGUGCAGCUAUGAGAGUAUGUAUAUUUUCAUUCACGUAUUUGAAAUAUUUAUGGAUUGUCUGUUAUAUGACUAGUACUAGGGGUUCUAUAAAUUUACCCAUAUAAUGUGUAUGUGUUAAAUAUAUAUUAUUAAUAUGGGUAAAUGUAAUAUGUUUAUAUAGGUAAAUGUAAUCUAUUUGGUAUGUAGAUACACAAAUUUAGAGUAUAUAACAGAUAUGUUUCUGUAUAGACAUAUAUUUUGGAGACAUUCUGUUGUCUGGCUUCUUUAUAUUCCCAUAUGUGCUCAAUUUCUGUAUUCCCUUUCCUGAUUCAUCGUUUUCUUCUAGUAUUGAAGUAGAAUAAAGGCAACCAUGUAUUGUGGAGCAGGGGGUACACAACACAAUUUUCAAGGACUCAUUUCUACCUCUACAGCCAUGCACAGCAGCCUUGCAGUUCAAAUCACGAAGCUACCACCCAUCUGAUGACAUUUUGCUGUCCUAAUCGGAAAGGGUAGCUUUAGACAAAAUGAACCAUCUUUUGAGGGCUGAACUUGCAAAUAUGUUCGUGUGUGUGUGUGUGUGUGUGU
Molecule: long non-coding RNA, 16381 nt
Filed under: Homo sapiens (human)
Lineage: Eukaryota; Metazoa; Chordata; Mammalia; Primates; Hominidae
Description: non-protein coding lnc-WDR70-7:5
Source: RNAcentral